GCCAGGCAUGGUGGUGCAUGCCUGUAAUCCCAGCUACUCUGGAGGCUGCAGCAGGAGGAUCACUUGAGCCCAGGAAUUUGAGGCUGCAGUGAGUUACGACUGCGCCACUGCAUUCCAGCCUGGGUGACAGAGUGAGAUCUUGUCUCUG
Molecule: non-coding RNA, 148 nt
Filed under: Pan troglodytes (chimpanzee)
Lineage: Eukaryota; Metazoa; Chordata; Mammalia; Primates; Hominidae
Source: Rfam by way of RNAcentral